RNAcentral lists this unclassified non-coding RNA (3715 nucleotides) under Drosophila virilis. RNAcentral describes it as "GJ10381". The record is from RNAcentral. Lineage: Eukaryota; Metazoa; Arthropoda; Insecta; Diptera; Drosophilidae.
AUGGGAAAAAUAUCAGAGCCCUAUGUUGUUUGGAUUAAAGAUAUUGAAAUAAACACAACAACAACAACAACAACAGCAGCAGCAGCAGCAGCAGCAACAACAGCUGCAGCUGCAGCAGCAGCAGCAGCAGCAGUUGAAGCAACUGCUACUGCUGCGUGCAGCAUUGAGCCUACCCAUGCCACAAACAUGAUUUGUGAUGCAAAAGAAGAACAGCAGCAACAGCAGCAGCAGCAACAGCAACUGCAGCAACAGCAACAGCAACCUGAACUGCAGCAGCAGCAAUCACUGGAACAGCAGCAGCAGCAGCAGCUGGAAGCUGAGCCGGAUGAGAAAUGUACACAAAGUAUACACAAUAAUGGCGACAGGCGCGAUUCGAUCAGCGAUGACAACACAAUCAACAGCAGCACAUUAAACAGCAAACUAUUGACCAUACAGGAGGCCGCCGGCACCAUCGAGCGCAGCAGCAUUUCGCUAGCCACAGCCUUGACUACGGCACAGACCACUUCCGUUUCCGUUUGCACAGCAUCCGUCAUCUGUCAUGAGGCGCUCAGCAGCGUCAGCGGCGGCGGCGGCGGUGGCGUCGCCAGCAUCAGCAGCAGCAGCAGCAGCAGUAACAGCGGCAGCCAUCACAACGUAGCGCCCGGCAGCAGCAUACACAGCAGUCCACAGGCGAACACGCCCAGCAUAAGCAUCGCUGCAGCCGAGUCCAAGGACCAAUCGCAGCCGGCGCAAUCGCAUAGCGUUGAUUCGAAUGGUCAGCCGAGCGGCUCCUGCACGGACAGUCCCAGCAGUCGCAAGAGCUCAACUAGCUCCAAGGGCAAACCAGCCAAGUUAUCCACGUCGAGCAGUGGACGCGAUGAGGAUGCACAGGGCAAACUAAGCGAAUCCGCGAGCACCGACAGCGUUCUAUUACGCGGAGAUAACAACAGCACCACAUCUAAUGAGAAGCCCAGCAAGGGCACUUCCCGACUCUCCGAGCGCGCCAAGAAGAAGUCCUGGUACAACGUCAUCUAUCCGAAUUAUAAAUCACGCGCCGAGGACUUCAAAAAACUGUUCAAAGAUGUGCCCAACGAUGAGCGUCUAAUUGUGGACUACUCGUGCGCGCUGCAACGGGAUAUAUUGGUGCAGGGUCGUUUGUACGUGUCCCAGAAUUAUGUGUGUUUCCAUGCGAACAUCUUUAGCUGGGAAACGUAUGUGAGCAUCAAAUGGAAGGAUGUGACAGCAAUUACGAAAGAGAAAACAGCGCUCGUGAUACCGAAUGCGAUUACAAUAUCUACCGCCAGGGAGAAGUAUUUUUUUGCGACAUUCGCGUCGCGUGACAAGUCGUAUUUGAUGCUCUUUCGUGUCUGGCAGAACACAUUGUUGAACAAACAGUUCUCACAGCAGGAGAUCUGGCGUUACGUGCACAAUUGCUACGGCGAUGAAUUGGGCCUGACCACAGACGAUGAGGACUAUAUAGAUCCCACGCUGGACGCGGCCGAUACAGAAACCGAUGGUGACUUUCAAACGGCCCUUGACGAUCUCGGCGGCGAUCAGAGCAAUUCCAGUCAGUGCACCAACAAUUCGGGCCAGCAGCAGCAGCAGCAGCAGCUGCAGCAACAGAGCGGCAACAGCAGCGCCAGCAGCGGCGGCGGCAGCGCAGCAGCUGUACGCAAAUCGAAGACGAAAUAUUUCUUUAACUCAAGCAAAUCGUCAAAUUUAAACUCAUCGGCCAACGCAUCGGCCAGUGGCUCGGAUAAUAAAGCCAGCGACAAUACGCGUAAAUCAAAUAAGAAAAUGAAGGCCAAUGCCAAAGAGCUGACACUCAGCUCCGUCAAGGCAACGGAGCAAUCGGUGGCCGUCACACUCAGCGUGCCCAGCACCAACAGCGGCCCAACCACCGCCACCAACACCAACAGCAACAGCAACACCACCAAUACAAACACCACCAGCAGCAGCACCACAGCCACUGCCACCACCACCAGCAGCAGCAGCAACAACAACAACAACAGCAGCAGCAACAGCAGCUCAGCGAUGGCCACCACAACGGCAACAACCACUACAGCCAGUGGUGGCAUUGUCGGUGGUGCUGGCGGCGACAGAAGAGCCGAAAAGAUCAACAGCAGCAGUGCGGCAAACGCAACUGCAGCCGAACCCCAGAGUCAUGGCUCCGAUGUCAAGCGCAAAGUUGGCAAAAAUCAGCGACAACGCGAUGAUUUGGCGGCCAAAAAUGCCGAGGCUGGGCCCACAGAUGUCUCGGACUCUUCCGAUUCCGAGGAGAACAAUGUGCCCUUUGUGCCGAGUACGGAGUGCACAUCGACGCACGAGGGCCGCCAAAUAGUGCACACAAUUCUGCCCAUACGCGUGGAUACUCUGUUCAAUUUUCUGUUCUCAAAGUCGAAAUUCCUAACGGACUUUCACGAGCUGCGCAAAUCGACCGAUCUGUCCAUGGGCGAGUGGCAUAAAAAUGAUGAGGGCCAGAAUGUGCGGCUGGUAAACGUGACCGUGCAACUGGCCGCCUCGGUGGGCCCAAAAACCUCAAAGGUCACCGAAUAUCAAACGAUGCGCGAGUGCAGCAAGCCGGGUGAACUGUAUUCGAUAGACGUGAACAGCGUCAACGCGGGCAUACCAUAUGCGGACAGUUUCAGUGUGCUCAUACACUUCUGUCUGGCGCGCACUGUGGAUGAUCAUACGAUGUUGUCGGUGCAUGCGCAAAUCAAAUAUAAAAAGUCCAUUUGGGGCGUUGUCAAGGGCUUCAUUGAGAAGAAUACGUGGGCGGGCCUGGAGGAUUUCUUUGGUGCGCAGCUGCAUGCGCUGCAGAGCGAGACCUGCAUACCGCCGGCCAAGGGCAAGGGCAGGCGUCCCAGACGUGGUACCUCCACACAAGCGCGCCCCAUGGAGGAAGCAGCCGGCGGCGCCGCACAGAGUGGCCUGGCCGAAUCGCUAGACAAUUGGGAGACAAAAAUGUUGUCCGCUGGCGGCGUUGGCGCUGGCACCGCGGCUGGCCUACUGGCACAUGGCGCUGCUGGUGGCGGCGGUGGGGCCGGCAGCCGACAGCAGCAGCUGUUGCUGGCCGCGCAGCAGCAGCAGCAACAGUUGCUGGCGGGCGGCCAUCAGCUGGGCCAGGGCCAGGACAGAUUCAGACACAGGAGCCUGUCGCUGUUCGUUAUAUUGUUAAUGUGCUUGCUGCUGGCAUUAAAUGUGAUAUUAUUACUUAAGCUCUGGAAGCUGGAGGAACACAUUGACGUCGAUCUCAGCCGGCGCGCCCGCAUGCCCAGUUUGGCAGCCCUCAAAGAACUACCCAAUACGAAUCAAGAUUGGCUGGAAUUGUUGCGCCAGCAGGAGCUAUCGCAUGAAUCUGAGCUACGCAAAUGGCAUCAGGUGCUCCAAACGGCCAUUGAGCUGCUGAAAAAGACUGAAAAGACUUUGGCUGAAGUCAUGAUACCCUAGGCAGCCCUUUCAGCACAAGAAUCCACAACUCACAAGCCAACCCCCCCCCCCCCUUCCCCUCCCUGCACCCCUCUGCAACAACAACAACAACAACAACAACAAAUAUAAACACAACAAUAGUUAGUUCCUGUUGUUAAUUCCGAACACACAGCCACCAAAAAAUUGAAAUUGAAUUUCGAAAUGUAGUCACAAAACUAGCGAAAAAACUUUGUGUUAUAUUGCACGCAAAUUAUGAAAUGUGCGUAAAAUUCCCCCCCAAAAUAAUUCGAUAAAAGAUAAAUAAUUC